UGGGCCCUUGAGCCAUCAUCUAUCACAUUUACAGUUAAAACAGGUUAGACAUCACUUGUCAUAAGUAUCUUAUCCUCAUCAUAGCAGCUGUACUAUGACGCUAACAUAUAUUUUUCUAGCCUAAAUUCAUGGCUAUCACUAAUCUCAUGUCAAGCAUAUCUUACUUGAAAAAUGCUCAUAUUAAUGUUAAGUCUGAGACACUUCAAGCUUAAUAUGAACUAAUUUUUUAUCAAUGCAUACAUACGGCCCUUACCUAAAGCCAUUUCAUCAAUUACAUCUCGCAUUUUAUAUCAUGACUUAUAUCUCAUAAUUGUAACUAAAAACAUAGCAUGCAUAGUUCAACAUCAUAAUCAUAGAAUGGUCUUCCCUAGAAGAAACAUAGUUAAUGUACAGUGUGUCAUGACCCGGUACUCCCCUCGAGCCCGUGACAAUCUCCGUGACGUCCCGAUAGACAUUCAUUACCCGAAAUGCCAACCGGAACCUCGCAAGGCUUUAAUAUUAGUUGUCGCACCUCUCUUGUGAGCAACAGUUGUUAAGUAUUAUGUUUUGAGAGAUUAUAAACUAUUUUCAAGUCAAAACAAUCGAAAAAUAAUUUUUUUCUCAUAGGGGCAUUUUGAUCAUUUUUCCUCAAAAAUCUCGAAACUAGCUAAAAAUGUAGUAUGCAAGUGGAAAACACAUAUUUCAUAAUCAAAAAUAAGUUUAGAUGUCUAAAACAUUCAUUUGAAAUAAAAUUAUGACUAUUUGAAUAUAAUAAAAAUAUUUAAUAAAAUAUUCUAUUUUUUUAUAAAACAAUAUUUAUAGAGUUACCCGUAAAUAAUUUUUAUAGCGUAAAAGCUAAAUAAAUUCAUACAUACUGUAAUACAGAUAACCAAAGUAUAAAAUUUAAUUUACAGUGACACGUGAGCCCACGAACGAUCAAAAGUAUCAAAAACGGUAAACCUACAGUUUUUGGGGAUACAAGUCCAAUUGUAGCCCUCAAUAAAGUGAGCUAUCUACCGACU
Molecule: long non-coding RNA, 1001 nt
Filed under: Theobroma cacao (cacao)
Lineage: Eukaryota; Viridiplantae; Streptophyta; Magnoliopsida; Malvales; Malvaceae
Description: long non-coding RNA (TCAC_LNC005377)
Source: RNAcentral